AUGUAUGAUGAUAUAUAGUGAAUACAGACCUUGCCGGCGUCCUGCCAGGUGACGCCGGUGAGGGACUCGACGGCAAGGGCGCCGAGGGUGGCGAGCAUGGCCCAGCGGCCGUGGAUGAGCUCGCACUCGCGGAAGCGCUGCAGGCCGAAGACCUCGCUGUAGGGCUGGAAGGGCGUGGACUUGACGUCGGCGGUCUCGGAACGCGUGCCGAUGACGUCGCCGGCCGAGUUCUUGGCCAAAUUCUGGUCCAGCGAAUCCAGCUCGAACUGCAAGUACUCGGCCGGCUUGCCCAGGCCGAAGGGGUCGAAGCCGUAGUCGCCGACCAGCGAGCCGUCCAGCCACUCCGGCGCCUUCGCGCCCGGGUACCACAGCGGCCGGUCCGUGCCCCCCGACGUGGCUUUCUUUUUCGGGGCCGAUUUCUUCUUUCCGAACCCGAACCGCGCCGCGAACCGGCCCCGGGUCUGAACCGGCUCCGCGAGCCGGGUUCCCAGGAACGGCGAGGCUGAUGCGGCGGAGGCCAUGUUAUUAUGCUUUGCUCGGCUUCACCCCAAACCCCCCCCCCCCCCCCCCCCAAAAAAAAAACAANCUAUGCUUUUUAAAAGUAUCAAGUUAUUGACGCUUAUAGAUUUUUGGCCAUUGUAUUAAGGGAUGUGUGGUUAGGAUGAUGUGAGCCCCUUAGAGUUAAGUGGGUAGGUGGUUGGUUAAAUAGUAUAAUCUAACAGUUGAAAAUGAUUAAAGACGUAAAUCUAACGGUAAAUAAUUAAUAGGUACUAAGUGCUUAGUAUUUUUACAAACAUCAUAGCCGAAUUCUUUCUCUCUCUCUAUAUAUAUAUAUGCAUGCAAAUUAAAGACCUAUUACAACCAUAGUUAAUUAAUUGGGAUGUGGUAAAAAUUCAGUACGGAUAAAAUACGAAUAAAAUUUAUAUCUUAAUUUUUAAAUUUAUUAAAAAAUACAGUUUAAAAAUUGAAUUCGUCAAUAAUUCGUAUAUGCGAUUUAUACGAGAAUUUUACGUUUAUUAUUUAAAAAUUCAGAAUAAAAUUUCGUCUAUUAAAUUAAUUUUUUUAGAUUUAUUCUAUUAUUAUAAAUAAUUAUAAUUUUUAUAAAUAUAAAAAUAAACUAAUAUAGACUACUAUAUUAGUUAAUUGGACCCUGCUAUUUCCCAACGCGUAUGCUGCAAUAUCUCCUUCCUCCUCGCUCCUCCUCUUUUCCUCUUUGCUUCGCUCCGUCUUCAUGUUUCUUUCAAAAUUGAACAGGCAAAAUUGCUCGAUUGCUCACGAGAAGGUGCAUGGAUUUGCGGAGCGGUGGUCGCGCGACGCCGAUCCGAAAAUUUCAUCUUUCCGUAGCCGCCCAAUCCAAAUUUUUUUUAGAAAUUUCAUCUUUCCAUCCCUGCUCGAUUCGAAUUUUUCACAAUAUAAUUUGGCAAAGCCGUUUUAAUCGCGAAUAGUUAGAGUAAGGAAAAAAACACGUUUUUUUCUGAUUUUUGAAAAAGAUUUGUAAACGGAGUGUUUUAUACGGUUUGUUGUUUGUUUAUGAAUAAUUCGUGUAUUAUACGCGAAUUAACUAACUAGGAUUACAACAACCAACGGCGACGGGCAGGUAAUAAAAAGCUCCGAAAUGCAUAUAGGCGAUUAAUCAGGUAAUAAUAGUUAAUUUAAAGCUGGUAAAAGCGUUCCAAGUAAAAACAUAACAUUUUUUACAAGAUGACGGAGAUCAUUAAUCGAUCACACAGUACUCCUCUAAUAAUUAACUUCAUAUCCUCACAAAUUAAUCCAGUUUUGAGUGGACUAUGUACUCCAAGAGAGAGAGAUCACAAUGAGAUCAAGCUAGUACGGUAACCGUAGGACACAAUGCAUUUAGGAAGAGGAGGAGGAGGAGGAGGAGAAGGUGUCGAAGAUGGUGGUGUGGAGGGGGUCACUGAGGUGAGUAGCCCAGUUGUUUAGCGGGCCCUUGCCGGUGACGGCGGCUUGGACGGCGAAGCCCAGGAAGGCGACCAUGGCGAGGCGGGCGUGCUUGAUCUCGGCCAGCUGCAAGGUUUCCUUCUUCUCCGGGUCGGAGGCGAGGCCCAGCGGGUCGAAGUACUUCCCCCCGGGAUACAGCCUCUUCUCGGGGUCCAGCUCGGCGUUCCGCUGGAACUCGAUGUACCCGAUGACCAGAACCUCGAUCCAUAUCAGCGUAGUGAUGGAGAAAGGAAGAGGGAGGCCGAGGUACGAAGAUCCAUCCACCAACUCAACCUGAUAUAUAUAUAUAUAUACAUAUAUGAUCGCGCCUCGUCCAAAUUAUAUAAGGAACAUUUCAUAAAUUUGCCAUAUUCAAUUUUCUACAUUUGAUAUAUAUAUAUAUAUCUAUCAUAAAGAGGGAGCAUCAUUGAUGUUAUGUUUGAUGAUGUUGUUCCUACUACGUUCAUAAUUUAGUAAGUAAUGAGCUUCUAAUUGAGGUUCAGAAUUAAUAUAUAUCUUGGUUUGCUUUAAUUGUGAACUACACUUGUACGCACAUAGGGAGCUGGAGCUGAUGGAUAUAUGCAUGAUGAUAUAUAGUAUAUAUAUAUAUAUGUAUAUAUACAGACCUUGCCGGCGUCCUGCCAGGUGACGCCGGUGAGGGACUCGACGGCAAGGGCGCCGAGGGUGGCGAGCAUGGCCCAGCGGCCGUGGAUGAGCUCGCACUCGCGGAAGCGCUGCAGGCCGAAGACCUCGCUGUAGGGCUGGAAGGGCGUCGACUUGACGUCGGCGGUCUCGGAACGCGUGCCGAUGACGUCGCCGGCCGAGUUCUUGGCCAAAUUCUGGUCCAGCGAAUCCAGCUCGAACUGCAAGUACUCGGCCGGCUUGCCCAGGCCGAAGGGGUCGAAGCCGUAGUCGCCGACCAGCGAGCCGUCCAGCCACUCCGGCGCCUUCGCGCCCGGGUACCACAGCGGCCGGUCCGUGCCCCCCGACGUGGCUUUCUUUUUCGGGGCCGA
This 2951-nucleotide long non-coding RNA is filed under the name Ananas comosus (pineapple). RNAcentral describes it as "long non-coding RNA (ACOM_LNC015754)". The record is from RNAcentral. Lineage: Eukaryota; Viridiplantae; Streptophyta; Magnoliopsida; Poales; Bromeliaceae.